CCCUUAGAUGUUCUGGACUGCACGCGCGCUACACUGAUGCGAUCAACAAGUUUUUCCUAUGUCGAUAGACACGGGUAAUCUUUUGAACUCGCAUCGUGAUGGGGAUAGAUUAUUGUAAUUAUUAAUCUUCAACGAGGAAUUCCUAGUAGGUGCAAAUCAUCAGUUUGCAUCGAUUACGUCCCUGCCCUUUGUACACACCGCCCGUCGCUGCUACCGAUUGGUUGAUCUGGUGAAUUAUUCGGACUGCCGGCUGAAGGGGUUUCCUCAUCUGCCAGCGGAAAGUCUUGUUAACCCUAUCAACUAGAGGAAGCAGAAGUCGUAACA
This 324-nucleotide ribosomal RNA is filed under the name uncultured eukaryote. Its description in RNAcentral is "partial 18S ribosomal RNA". It matches the Rfam family "Eukaryotic small subunit ribosomal RNA", at positions 1470 to 1796 of the family's 1831-position model. The record is from RNAcentral.